CAGAGUAUGAGUAUUCUCAUAACGAUAACUUUACGAAAAUUCAAAAGUUUGGGUAAAACGUCACAUUGUGCCAUUAAAUGGAACUAUUUAAGCUGUUACAUUAGUAAUCACUGGCGAUUCCUCAUUAAAAUUGGUGUCACUGCUUUGUGAAGUCUCUUCGUCACUAUCAGAUCUAUUUUGCAAUAUUGAUUUUGUGCAUACUCACUGGAGUCCCAAUUUUAUAAUUUGGACCAAUCCUUUUUUAACUAUGUUUGAGGCAUUUCAUUCCCAACUUGUUGUUGUUGUAAUCACAUUUUCGUGUGAAGGUAGCGAUCCUCGUCAAGCUCCUGCAGUCACACAAAAAAUGGCAAAGUUUCAACCACCUCAAAACGAUGUUAAUCCGUUGGGAGAAAAGUGGAAUUUCCGCAAAGAGGUCCCUAAGUUGGUACAACGUGAAAUCUCAUUCCCUCUCGGCCCCUCUAUUCUUCUCUCGCACAUGACAUUCACGGUGACUGUUGUAAAGGCCGCAGCCUAUGUGGUCUGGCACCCAUCAGGAGAAUGUGUCUCGGUAUCGUCUGAAAAUUCCAUAAAGCGAUAGUGAAAUCUGAUUUUAUUACAGUUCUGCUACCAUUUGAGCGAACUGAACAUGCCAAGUGAUGGGGAACAAGAGAAAGCCAAGUCGUUAAAACCGUAGAAUUUCUUUUAUCAAAAGCCGUUGCCCAGCGGACACAUGAAUAAUGGAGAAGUUCAGAACUUGAUUUGGUUAGAAAAAAAAAAUAUAUAAAUAUUUCUAAUUUAAUUCUAAAAAAAAACAGUAGCUCACACUAAGAGCC
Molecule: long non-coding RNA, 812 nt
Organism: Stomoxys calcitrans (stable fly)
Lineage: Eukaryota; Metazoa; Arthropoda; Insecta; Diptera; Muscidae
Exons: 3
Source: RefSeq, a predicted model, not a curated record